Molecule: ribosomal RNA, 396 nt
Filed under: uncultured bacterium
Lineage: Bacteria
Description: partial 16S ribosomal RNA
Rfam family: Bacterial small subunit ribosomal RNA
Source: RNAcentral
AUACGUAGGGGGCAAGCGUUGUCCGGAAUUACUGGGCGUAAAGGGUGCGCAGGCGGCUUGGUUAGUCAGAAGUGAAAGUUUGCAGCUUAACUGUAAAAGUGCUUUUGAUACUGCCUGGCUUGAGUCUCGGAGGGGUAAGCGGAAUUCCUAGUGUAGCGGUAAAAUGCGUAGAUAUUAGGAGGAACACCAGAGGCGAAGGCGGCUUACUGGACUGUAACUGACGUUGAGGCUCGAAGGCGUGGGGAGCAAACAGGAUUAGAUACCCUGGUAGUCCACGCGGUAAACGAUGAUCACUAGGUGUUGGCACGCAUAGCGUGUCGGUGCCGCAGCAAACGCAAUAAGUAUUCCACCUGGGGAGUACGUUCGCAAGAAUGAAACUCAAAUGAAUUGGCGGGG